This 211-nucleotide ribosomal RNA is filed under the name uncultured bacterium. RNAcentral's name for it is "partial 16S ribosomal RNA". It matches the Rfam family "Bacterial small subunit ribosomal RNA", at positions 1289 to 1500 of the family's 1533-position model. The record is from RNAcentral.
CAGUUCAGAUUGUAGGCUGCAACUCGCCUACAUGAAGUCGGAAUUGCUAGUAAUGGCAGGUCAGCAUACUGCCGUGAAUACGUUCCCGGGCCUUGUACACACCGCCCGUCACACCAUGGGAGCCGGUAAUACCCGAAGUCAGUAGUCCAACCUCGUGAGGACGCUGCCGAAGGUAGGAUUGGCGACUGGGGUGAAGUCGUAACAAGGUACC